RNAcentral lists this unclassified non-coding RNA (329 nucleotides) under soil metagenome. RNAcentral's name for it is "partial contains 5.8S ribosomal RNA, internal transcribed spacer 2, and large subunit ribosomal RNA". The stretch from base 1 to 120 matches the Rfam family "5.8S ribosomal RNA", at positions 35 to 154 of the family's 154-position model. The record is from RNAcentral.
GAUGAAGAACGUAGCGAAAUGCGAUAAGUAAUGUGAAUUGCAGAAUUCAGUGAAUCAUCGAGUCUUUGAACGCACAUUGCGCCCCCUGGUAUUCCGGGGGGCAUGCCUGUCCGAGCGUCAUUACAACCCUCAAGCUCAGCUUGGUGUUGGGCCCCGCCGCCCCGGCGGGCCCUAAAGUCAGUGGCGGUGCCGUCCGGCUCCGAGCGUAGUAAUUCUUCUCGCUCUGGAGGUCCGGUCGUGUGCUCGCCAGCAACCCCCAAUUUUUUUCAGGUUGACCUCGGAUCAGGUAGGGAUACCCGCUGAACUUAAGCAUAUCAAUAAGCGGAGGA